Molecule: long non-coding RNA, 686 nt
Filed under: Nicotiana benthamiana
Lineage: Eukaryota; Viridiplantae; Streptophyta; Magnoliopsida; Solanales; Solanaceae
Description: long non-coding RNA (NBEN_LNC004123)
Source: RNAcentral
CAGGCUACAGCUGAUGCAGAUCAAAAAUCUGAUGCAACUACAUAGUCAUGAGGUAUUCAAGAAAUUCAACCGCAUCUCAUCAGGAAUAUUUGCUCAUGGCAUGAGCCCUUCAUGCUGCUGUCACAAGUGGGAGUUGAGUUAGCUGACUUCACUAUGGUUGUGGGAGCACACUCAUGCUGCUAUCUCGAGUGGGAGUUGAAUUAGCUGACUUCACUAUGGUUGUGGGAGCACAAAAUGAAUGCAACCCUCAGCCUCAUUCAUGUACAAGCUUCUUGUUCUCGUUGUCCUUUCCUUUGUAUAAAAGUAUAAAUUCGUUGAUUCUUUGAAUUUUAGAAUCUAGAAGUAGGUGAUGUUGCAAAACAGACUUAGUCUUCACAUGAACUUGUAUUACCUUCCUUCAGAAUGGAUAGAAAAGAAACAGAUUUAGCUUAAUGUCUGUCCAACCUCAAAAUUGGCCUUCAUUCUUCCGCAGGGCGAUAUAUCCAAGUCCCAAAUGACAGCAACAGGAAAAAUCAUGAAAGCAAGAUACUGUGAUUGUACUACUAUAAGAUUUCUGUUUCCUCUUAUGUUAUUUCAUUUUAAUCAGUGUAUUUAACCAAUAAAUUGCCGAUGUUCUCAAUGAAGAAAAAAAAGGCAGUAGAAAGAUCUUCAUCUGUUCAUCAUGUUGAUGAGAGUGGAUUCUGAAA